GACGAACGCUGGCGGCGUGCUUAACACAUGCAAGUCGAACGGAAAGGCCCUGCUUUUGUUGGGUGCUCGAGAGGCGAACGGGUGAGUAACACGUGAGUAACCUGCCCUUGACUUUGGGAUAACAUCAGGAAACUGGGGCUAAUACCGGAUAGGAUCUCCUGCUGCAUGGUGGUGGUUGGAAAGAUUCGGCUGUUGUGGAUGGACUCGCGGCUUAUCGGCUUGUUUGUGGGGUAGUUGCUUACCAAGUCUUUGACGGGUAGGCGGCAUGGGAGGGUGAACGGGCACAUGGGGACUGAGGUACGGCCCAGACUGCUAAGGGAGGCAGCAGGCGGGAACAUUGCGCAAUGGGGGGAAGUCUGAUGCAGCAACGUCGCGUGCGGGAUGAUGGGUUUCGAGUUGUAAACAGAUGUCGCAUGUGAUGAAGCGUGAGUGACGGUAAUGGGUAAGGAAGCAACGGCUAACUACGUG
Molecule: ribosomal RNA, 468 nt
Filed under: uncultured bacterium
Lineage: Bacteria
Description: partial 16S ribosomal RNA
Rfam family: Bacterial small subunit ribosomal RNA
Source: RNAcentral